ACGCUCGACACCUACGGGAGGCAGCAGUGGGGAAUAUUGCACAAUGGGGGAAACCCUGAUGCAGCGACGCCGCGUGAGCGAAGAAGUAUUUCGGUAUGUAAAGCUCUAUCAGCAGGGAAGAAACUGACGGUACCUGACUAAGAAGCACCGGCUAAAUACGUGCCGNAGCCGCGGUAAUCUGAGCGGGCUGGCAAGGC
This 197-nucleotide ribosomal RNA is filed under the name uncultured bacterium. RNAcentral's name for it is "partial 16S ribosomal RNA". It matches the Rfam family "Bacterial small subunit ribosomal RNA", at positions 328 to 539 of the family's 1533-position model. The record is from RNAcentral.